Molecule: long non-coding RNA, 986 nt
Organism: Mus musculus (house mouse)
Lineage: Eukaryota; Metazoa; Chordata; Mammalia; Rodentia; Muridae
Product: predicted gene, 41206
Exons: 4
Source: RefSeq, a predicted model, not a curated record
UGGCUUUACAAUGAAGGACAGAGAAUCUGGGAAAGGCAGUGGUCAGCUCUGUCCUGCAGGAACGCCACAUGCAUUCUGUCAGAACAAAGGGCUACCCUGAGCUUUUAUCUUUAACAUCUGAUUUACAACAGUAUGUGACAGAAUUUAGAGAUUUUUCUAGUUAAAUAAUUAUCUUAAAAGUUGCCCUUCUACAGGUUUUAUAACAAAACAGCACUACCAACUGGUGAGAGAUGGUUCUAAACCAUGAGCCUGUGGGGAGCCUUUCUCAUUCAAAGUCUCACUUCUGGAUUUCAGAACAUUUUCAUUGGGGAUUUACAAAUUAGAGAUUCUCAACCUACAAUAUCAAGAUGUCAUUAGCCAGUGAUGAGUAAAAUCCUGCCUGGGGAAGUGCUUCACUGGGGUGGACUCCAAAGCUGGAUUAGACUGAAGAAUGCUCCGGAAUUGGGAAAGCACAUAGUGUCCAUGAAAGUAUUUCUAGAGAAGAUUGACAUGCGAGUCAGCGAGUUAACUCCCCACCCCCGACCAUGAGAUAGGCUGGCUUUGAACUUCCUAUCAUCCUGCCUUGGGCUUCUAUGUACUGAGAUUACAGUGUAAUUCCUGUGAGUAAACUCAGAUCACCUGGACUGUGUCGCAAGGACCGUUAUCCAUCUGCCAUCUCACUGGCUGCAGAAACCUAUGUUGGAUGCUCAUUAAUUCAAGACAAAGGGAUGAGGGAGACUCUCAGACAUGACUGUGUCCUUGGCCCUGGAAAGAAAAUUGUCAGCAGUGCCACACUAAGAAUGCUAAGGCAAAGAGAAGACUCUCAAAUACAAGAGGCAUAGACAACAUCCUCAGAAACGGAUCGAGGGAAACAUGCAAGGCUGGAAUGCCCGCAGAUCUGCUUCCAGAGGGGUCUGCUUCACUGUAUCUAUAUAACCUGCUCUCAAAUGAAUUCCUAUCUCAAAACCAGAAAUGGUCGCUUAAAUUGAGAGUUCUUCCUCUAAAAA